GUCUAAGGGAGUUCAUUUUGCUCAUACUGUUUUCUGUCAUAUUCUUUGUUUUCAACACUAUGUCUAUGAUAUUAAUUCAUGUUGUGGCAUAUGCUUUCAGAGAAUUCAUUUUCUAAGUAACAUGUAGGCUUCCAUUCUAUUCGUUUGACAGAUUUAUUAUUCAUUCUCCAGUGAAUGCACACGAGGAUUUUCCCCUAGAUUUUGGGGCUACUGCAAACAGGACAAUCUUCUUGUACAUUCCUUUAGAUACCCUGGUGUAAUAUGUAUCUAUCCCUGAGAUAUAAAAAUUAAGCCUUAGGGAACUUCCUAACUCAGUUAACUUAUUAAAUGAUGUGAUAAGUAAUGCAAUGCUUCUUUAGAUUCCUUUGCGUCUUCUGUAUUUGUCACCUAUCUAUAAUCACUGACUUUCCCUUUUCUCAUUCUCACACUUUGUCUUGUUUUGUUAGCUGGGAUUUCAGCACAAUGUUGAACAGAAGUGGUGGUGGCAUUCUUCUGCUUAUUUAUCAAUUAUGUGCGAUAAGGACAACUAGAGGAUGGUUGCAGAUCAUUCUCCCAGCUGCUACUGAACCGGGUUCAUCUCAGCUGACCCACAGGAAGCCAAAACGCUGAGGUGCUGAGGUGUGCAGCAGAGAGAAGACUUAUCUGCAAGGCAGCCAAGCGAGGAGAUGGGAGAACAGAUCUCAAUUCCACCACCCUGAAGGCAAGGGGUGUAGGGUAUGUAUGUGAUAAAGAAUAAAGAAGCAGCUCUGCCUUGAGUGUGGGGAGCGUGGAGAUCUUGAGGAGAGGUGAUUUGAAAAAGAUGUGGUAAUUCUCAUCCUGCGCAGGCAUAACUGAGCUAGAAGCCCUGCAGAGUCAUAAGGGAAGACUCUGAGCAGGAUUCGAGGGUCGAGGUUUGGUCCCCUGAUUUUGCACACCCAGGUCGAGGGUCCAUGGUUCUAACCAGUCUUAACAAGCUGACAUCCAACUAGACACAGCUUACUCUGGCUCCUCCCAGCUGGAUGUAGCUGACUCCAGGUUCCAG
RNAcentral lists this long non-coding RNA (1021 nucleotides) under Camelus dromedarius (Arabian camel). RNAcentral's name for it is "lncRNA (ENSCDRG00005005888.1)". Lineage: Eukaryota; Metazoa; Chordata; Mammalia; Artiodactyla; Camelidae. The record is from RNAcentral.